RNAcentral lists this ribosomal RNA (523 nucleotides) under uncultured Alphaproteobacteria bacterium. Its description in RNAcentral is "bacterial SSU rRNA". It matches the Rfam family "Bacterial small subunit ribosomal RNA", at positions 355 to 896 of the family's 1533-position model. The record is from RNAcentral. Lineage: Bacteria; Pseudomonadati; Pseudomonadota; Alphaproteobacteria.
UGGGGAAUCUUGGACAAUGGGCGCAAGCCUGAUCCAGCCAUGCCGCGUGAGUGAUGAAGGCCCUAGGGUCGUAAAGCUCUUUCGCCAGAGAUGAUAAUGACAGUAUCUGGUAAAGAAACCCCGGCUAACUCNNUGCCAGCAGCCGCGGUAAUACGGAGGGGGUUAGCGUUGUUCGGAAUUACUGGGCGUAAAGCGCACGUAGGCGGAUCAGAAAGUAUAGGGUGAAAUCCCAGGGCUCAACCCUGGAACUGCCUUAUAAACUCCUGGUCUUGAGUUCGAGAGAGGUGAGUGGAAUUCCGAGUGUAGAGGUGAAAUUCGUAGAUAUUCGGAGGAACACCAGUGGCGAAGGCGGCUCACUGGCUCGAUACUGACGCUGAGGUGCGAAAGUGUGGGGAGCAAACAGGAUUAGAUACCCUGGUAGUCCACACCGUAAACGAUGAAUGCCAGUCGUCGGGUAGCAUGCUAUUCGGUGACACACCUAACGGAUUAAGCAUUCCGCCUGGGGAGUACGGUCGCAAGAUUA